Molecule: ribosomal RNA, 459 nt
Filed under: uncultured bacterium
Lineage: Bacteria
Description: partial 16S ribosomal RNA
Rfam family: Bacterial small subunit ribosomal RNA
Source: RNAcentral
CCUACGGGUGGCUGCAGUGAGGAAUAUUGGUCAAUGGACGAGAGUCUGAACCAGCCAAGUAGCGUGAAGGAUGACUGCCCUAUGGGUUGUAAACUUCUUUUAUAUGGGAAUAAAACAGGGUAUGCAUACCCUCUUGUAUGUACCAUAUGAAUAAGGAUCGGCUAACUCCGUGCCAGCAGCCGCGGUAAUACGGAGGAUCCGAGCGUUAUCCGGAUUUAUUGGGUUUAAAGGGAGCGUAGGUGGAUUGUUAAGUCAGUUGUGAAAGUUUGCGGCUCAACCCCGGCCCGCCGUUGAAACUGGCAGUCUCGAGUUGGAGAGAAGUAUGCGGAAUGCGCGGUGUAGCGGUGAAAUGCAUAGAUAUCGCGCAGAACUCCGAUUGCGAAGGCAGCAUGCCGGCUCCACACUGACGCUGAGGCACGAAAGCGUGGGUAUCGAACAGGAUUAGAUACCCUGGUAGUC